GAUCAUGGCUCAGGACGAACGCUGGCGGCGUGCCUAAUACAUGCAAGUAGAACGCUGAAGGAGGAGCUUGCUUCUCUGGAUGAGUUGCGAACGGGUGAGUAACGCGUAGGUAACCUGCCUGGUAGCGGGGGAUAACUAUUGGAAACGAUAGCUAAUACCGCAUAAUAGCAGUUGUUGCAUGACAGCUGUUUGAAAGGUGCAAUUGCACCACUACCAGAUGG
Molecule: ribosomal RNA, 221 nt
Filed under: uncultured bacterium
Lineage: Bacteria
Description: partial 16S ribosomal RNA
Rfam family: Bacterial small subunit ribosomal RNA
Source: RNAcentral